AUUGAACGCUGGCGGAAUGCUUUACACAUGCAAGUCGAACGGUAGAGGGGGCAACCCCCUUGAGAGUGGCGAACGGGUGAGUAAUAUAUCGGAACGUGCCCAGUCGUGGGGAUAACGUAGCGAAAGUUACGCUAAUACCGCAUACGAUCUAAGGAUGAAAGCGGGGGACUCGCAAGAGCCUCGUGCGAUUGGAGCGGCCGAUAUCAGAUUAGGUAGUUGGUGGGGUAAAGGCUCACCAAGCCAACGAUCUGUAGCUGGUCUGAGAGGACGACCAGCCACACUGGAACUGAGACACGGUCCAGACUCCUACGGGAGGCAGCAGUGGGGAAUUUUGGACAAUGGACGCAAGUCUGAUCCAGCCAUUCGCGUGCAGGAUGAAGGCCCUCGGGUU
This 391-nucleotide ribosomal RNA is filed under the name uncultured bacterium. RNAcentral describes it as "bacterial SSU rRNA". It matches the Rfam family "Bacterial small subunit ribosomal RNA", at positions 30 to 424 of the family's 1533-position model. The record is from RNAcentral.